UCGUUCACAGUGGUCAAGACUUCUUGAGA
This 29-nucleotide non-coding RNA is filed under the name Mus musculus (house mouse). The record is from RNAcentral. Lineage: Eukaryota; Metazoa; Chordata; Mammalia; Rodentia; Muridae.